Molecule: ribosomal RNA, 465 nt
Filed under: uncultured bacterium
Lineage: Bacteria
Description: partial 16S ribosomal RNA
Rfam family: Bacterial small subunit ribosomal RNA
Source: RNAcentral
ACGAACGCUGGCGGCGCGCCUAACACCUGCCCGUCGAACGCGCGAGAGAGAGCUUGCUUUCUUGAGCGAGUGGCGAACGGGUGAGUAACGCGUGAGGAACCUGCCUCAAAGAGGGGGACAACAGUUGGAAACGACUGCUAAUACCGCAUAAGCCCACGACCCGGCAUCGGGUUGAGGGAAAAGGAGCAAUCCGCUUUGAGAUGGCCUCGCGUCCGAUUAGCUAGUUGGUGAGGUAACGGCCCACCAAGGCGACGAUCGGUAGCCGGACUGAGAGGUUGAACGGCCACAUUGGGACUGAGACACGGCCCAGACUCCUACGGGAGGCAGCAGUGGGGAAUAUUGCACAAUGGGGGAAACCCUGAUGCAGCGACGCCGCGUGGAGGAAGAAGGUCUUCGGAUUGUAAACUCCUGUUGUCGAGGAAGAUAAUGACGGUACUCAACAAGGAAGUGACGGCUAACUACGUG